CUCCGCUUGGUGUAGUUGGUUCAUCACGUUCGACUGUAAUAGCAAUUGUUAUCGAAAGGUCCCUAGUAAGUACUUGCCACAGCCUUCAACUCAAGGCUUGGUUCUAACACCCGUGAUAGGUUCGAUUCUGGGAGCGGAGA
Decorospora gaudefroyi is the source of this 140-nucleotide non-coding RNA. NCBI's taxonomy places the organism in Eukaryota, Fungi, Ascomycota, Dothideomycetes, Pleosporales, Pleosporaceae. The record is from the annotation of a GenBank genome assembly.